UGUAAGCGUAUACCAAAGUUGUUGCAGUUAAAACGCUCGUAGUCGGAAUUUGGCAGUUCCGGAUGUGUGCACGUCGUGUGCGCACUUCGCGGGGAUUGCUUUUGUGGUCUUGCGUAGGAUGAGGCACUUUUAUUAGUGAACGUCCUCACGCAACCACUUUUUACUGUGAGAAAAUCAGAGUGCUCAAAGCAGGCAUUUGCCGUGAAUGUAUUAGCAUGGAAUAAUAGAAUAGGACUCGGUUCUAUUUUGUUGGUUUGUUGGGACUGAGUAAUGAUUAAGACGGACAGUUGGGGGCAUUUGUAUUUCGGCGCUAGAGGUGAAAUUCUUAGAUUGCCGAAAGACAAACUGCUGCGAAAGCGUCUGCCAAGGAUGUUUUCAUUGA
This 382-nucleotide ribosomal RNA is filed under the name uncultured eukaryote. RNAcentral's name for it is "partial 18S ribosomal RNA". It matches the Rfam family "Eukaryotic small subunit ribosomal RNA", at positions 592 to 976 of the family's 1831-position model. The record is from RNAcentral.